RNAcentral lists this unclassified non-coding RNA (314 nucleotides) under plant metagenome. RNAcentral's name for it is "partial contains 5.8S ribosomal RNA, internal transcribed spacer 2, and large subunit ribosomal RNA". The stretch from base 1 to 105 matches the Rfam family "5.8S ribosomal RNA", at positions 50 to 154 of the family's 154-position model. The record is from RNAcentral.
GAAACGCGAUAGUUAAUGUGAAUUGCAGAAUUCAGUGAAUCAUCGAGUCUUUGAACGCACAUUGCGCCCAUAGGUAUUCCUUUGGGCAUGUCUGUUUGAGCGUCAUUACAACCCUCAGCUAACCGCUGGUUUUGAACCUGAACGGGUGACACCGCGCCGGUUUUAAAGUUGUAAGCUCUUCUGGCCGCUCUGCCCAACCAGAACAUAGUAAGCACUACUUGUCCGGGUGAAGCUGAACGGUACGGCCUGAACAAAACAUACCCACUCUCAAGGUUUGACCUCAGAUCAGACAAGGAUACCCGCUGAACUUAAGC